UAGGUAAACAGUGUCGCCAGACAGAC
RNAcentral lists this non-coding RNA (26 nucleotides) under Mus musculus (house mouse). The record is from RNAcentral. Lineage: Eukaryota; Metazoa; Chordata; Mammalia; Rodentia; Muridae.